Molecule: ribosomal RNA, 799 nt
Filed under: uncultured Glomeromycotina
Lineage: Eukaryota; Fungi; Glomeromycota
Description: SSU rRNA
Rfam family: Eukaryotic small subunit ribosomal RNA
Source: RNAcentral
AUCAACUUUCGAUGGUAGGAUAGAGGCCUACCAUGGUGGUAACGGGUAACGGGGUGUUAGGGCACGACACCGGAGAGGGAGCCUGAGAAACGGCUACCACAUCCAAGGAUGGCAGCAGGCGCGCAAAUUACCCAAUCCCGACACGGGGAGGUAGUGACAAUAAAUAACAAUACGGGGUUCUUUAGGAUCUCGUAAUUGGAAUGAGUACAAUUUAAAUCUCUUAACGAGGAACAAUUGGAGGGCAAGUCUGGUGCCAGCAGCCGCGGUAAUUCCAGCUCCAAUAGCGUAUAUUAAAGUUGUUGCAGUUAAAAAGCUCGUAGUUGAAUUUCGGGGUUAGUAGGUUGGUCAUGCCUCUGGUAUGUACUGGUCUCACUGAUUCCUCCUUCCUGAUGAGCCGUAAUGCCAUUAAUUUGGUGUUGCGGGGAAUUUGGACUGUUACUUUGAAAAAAUUGGAGUGUUUAAAGCAAGCUAACGCUUGAAUACAUUAGCAUGGAAUAAUGAAAUAGGACGUUCGAUCCUAUUUUGUUGGUUUCUAGGAUUGACGUAAUGAUUAAUAGGGAUAGUUGGGGGCAUUAGUAUUCAAUUGUCAGAGGUGAAAUUCUUGGAUUUAUUGAAGACUAACUACUGCGAAAGCAUUUGCCAAGGAUGUUUUCAUUAAUCAAGAACGAAAGUUAGGGGAUCGAAGACGAUCAGAUACCGUCGUAGUCUUAACCAUAAACUAUGCCGACUAGGGAUCGGAUGAUGUUAAUUUUUUAAUGACUCAUUCGGCGCCUUACGGGAAACCAAAGUGUUUGGGUCC